GUUUGAUCCUAGCUCAGAUUGAACGCUGGCGGGAUGCUUUACACAUGCAAGUCAGACGGCAGCACGGACGGUCUGGUGGCGAGUGGCCAGACGGGUGGUAAAUAUAUGGGCGUGCUAGUAUGGGGGAUAACUACACUGGCGUGGCUCAUGCCACGCUGCGCCCUUCGGGGAAAGCGGGGGACCUUCCGGGCCUCGCACUAUUAGAGCCGGCCGAUAUCGGAUAAGCUGGUUGGUGGGGUAACAGCUCACCAAGGCGACGAUCCGUAGCUGGUUUGAAGGACGAUAACCACACCUGGACUGAGACACGGCCCAGACUCCUACAGGAAGUAGCAGUGAGGAAUUUUGGACAAUGGGGAAACCCUGAUCCAGCCAUCCCGUGUGCGAUGAAGACGCUGGUUGUAAAACACUUUGGCAGGAAGAAACGGCUGGAUAAUACCCCGUGCAAUGACCGUACCUGCCGAAAGAUAGCGCAGCUAACUGCGAUGCCCGGCGGCCAUAAUUAAUACGUGAAGAAUUGAAGCGUUAAUCAGAUACUGGGCGUAAAGCGUGCGCAGGCGGACAACAGGAAGAAAGAUGUGAAAUCCCAGAGCUUAACUUUGGGUCUGCAUUUUUAACUACCGAGCUAGAGAGUGUGUCAGAGGAGGGUGGAAUUCCCGCGAUACUGGCAGUGAAAUUGCGUGGAAGUAUGGAGGAACACCGAUGGCGAAGGCAACCUCCUGGGAUAACACUGACGCUCAUGCACAACGUGGGGGCAAACAAGUUGAAUACCUGGUAGUCCACGCCUAAACGAUGUCAACUAGCUGUUGGGGCCUUCGGCCUUGGUGGCGCAACUAACAGCGAUGAAGUUGAGCCAUACAGAAGUGAUGCCAAGAUUAAAACCAAAGAAUUGAGCAGGACCGCACAAGCAGUGGAUGAUGUGGAUUAAUUCGAUGCAACGCGAAAAACCUUACCUACCCUUGACAUGUCUGGAAUCCCGAAGAGAUUUGGGUGCUCGCGAAGAACUUCGGAACACAGGUGCUGCAUGGCUGUCGUCAGCUCGUCGUCGUGAAUCAAUUGGGUUAAGUCCCGCAACGAGCGCAACCCCUUGUCAUUAGUUGCUACGAAAGAAUAUAAUGAGACUGCCGGUGACAAACCGGAGGAAGGUGGGGAUGACGUCAAGUCCUCAUGGCCCUUAUGGGUAGGGCUUCAUGCGUGUGUGGUCGGGACAGAGGGGUCGCCAACCCGCGAGGGGGAGCCAAUCCCAGAAACCCGAUCGUAGUCCGGAUCUACAGUCACUACAACUCGACUACGUGAAGUCGGAAUGCGCUAGUAAUCGCCGGAUCAGCAUGUCGCGGUGAAUACGUUCCCGGGUCUUGUACACACCGCCCGUCACACCAUGGAGUGGGUUUUGCAAGUAGUUAGCUAACCGUAAGGGCGAUUACCACGGUAGGAUUCAUGACUGGGGUGAAGUCGUAGCUGGGCAG
Molecule: ribosomal RNA, 1463 nt
Filed under: uncultured Bordetella sp.
Lineage: Bacteria; Pseudomonadati; Pseudomonadota; Betaproteobacteria; Burkholderiales; Alcaligenaceae
Description: partial 16S-23S ribosomal RNA intergenic spacer
Rfam family: Bacterial small subunit ribosomal RNA
Source: RNAcentral